Molecule: non-coding RNA, 71 nt
Organism: Phalacrocorax carbo (great cormorant)
Lineage: Eukaryota; Metazoa; Chordata; Aves; Suliformes; Phalacrocoracidae
Source: Rfam
UGGCAGUGAUGACUAAUCUUAGGACACCUUUGGAAUGACAGUGAAAUAAAAAUACCUUCUUUCUGAGCCAU